CUUGGUGUUCUGUGUGGAGCUGUGGCAGCCAUCUUAUCACCAUGAGGGGAAAGUGAAGAGGAUAAUUGAGAAUCCAACUGAGGGCCCUACCUCCACUGAGCUGCUGAAUUUGCCAACUCUACAACCUCUAAUUCCAGGAUGCCAGCAUCCUUGGAUGGGCCCCAGGGGUCCCCCAGCAGCUCCUGGAGUGGACUGUGCUGUCAGCAGACGUGUUUAUGUACACCUGAACAAGGAAGCUCAGAGGUAAAAUUAUACAUGAUUCAACUAAACAACUAGAGUUCAAGGAUGAAACCUGCUUUUAUUCUGCCUUCUAACCAGACUGAUUGAUGGUGCUGAG
This is a long non-coding RNA of Manis javanica (Malayan pangolin), 337 nucleotides long. RefSeq lists it as uncharacterized. Lineage: Eukaryota; Metazoa; Chordata; Mammalia; Pholidota; Manidae. The record is from RefSeq and is a predicted model, not a curated record.